RNA transcript from Topomyia yanbarensis, 1119 nucleotides. RefSeq lists it as uncharacterized. The record is from RefSeq and is a predicted model, not a curated record. The transcript is spliced from 3 exons. Lineage: Eukaryota; Metazoa; Arthropoda; Insecta; Diptera; Culicidae.
GUCACGACCGGCCAGUGCGAGAACUUUGACAGACUGAAUCAUCAAAACAACACAAUAGGUCAAUUAGUCAGCAGAAUUGCGGUGAUUUAGCUAGUGAAGUGAUAAAAGUAUUCCCAACCCACGUUCAGUUCGCACAGUUGCAGUAACCCCAAGAGUUAAAUUUGUAAAUUAAUUAAGUUAGACUUUAAUUUCCGUAACAGCCACGCAGUAAGUGGAAACCUAAGGAGGGAACAGAAGAAUCAAGAAAAACCUAAAAUCAGCAAUCCACAGUACAGUAAGAACCUGAAAUACUAGAAAACACUGAAAAUCCUUUUAGCUGUGCAGUAAUCAACUAAAAGAACGGUGUUUGUUCCGACUUCGGGAACAUUCUAAAAGGAUUUUCAUCCUAAGUUGGAUGAUUGAUUGCUACCCUUGGAAGUUCCUCCAACCGAUAUCCUGUAACCGGGAAAAGAUACACCGCCGGGAAACGAGCCAAUCUAUAAGGUUUGAGAGUACAUUGGUUUUGAUCGUUUGAGUAGAACUGUUGACAAUUAGUCCCGUCAUUCAGUCGCGAGUCCCGUAUAGUUUCCCAACCGGGCUGGUGUAAAUUAACACAGUUGAGUUGCUCCGUUUCUCGAGAUGUCAGAAGAACGUGACAAUACGAAACCGGAAGGCAAUGACAGGCACUGUAAAAGGUGCGACCGUGCCGAUGCGGAUGACGAUAUGGUGUGUUGCGAUAUGUGCGAGUCGUGGAUCCAUUUCCAGUGCGCCGGUGUCAGCGAAUCCAUUGCUGAACCGGAUAGAAGCUUUAAGUGUAGCAAUUGUCUGGCAGACUGGGAUGGUGCGUCGAAGUCGGGUGUGUCAUUCAACGAGUCGUCCGUCAGCAAGAGCAGUCGAGCGUCGCAGAGGUUGCAUCUCAGUUUACAACUUCUAGAAGAGCAACGGAAGCUGAAAAAGAUGCGUGCGGAAGAAGAAAUUAAAACCAGGAAAAUGGAAGAAGCAGCCAAAUUGAAGGAAAUCGAAGAGGAACAGGAAUACUUGAAGCAGAGAUACGAUUUGCUGUUGUAAAUCGGCGAUGAAAAUGAUUCGGCAAGUAGGAAAGGCGGAGUCAGUGUCAAAAAGAAGCGCGAACAGAUGGAG